UAAGCCACUAAUGUCGUGGAGAAGGUUAGACCUCAUAAAGUCAGCGAAGCUAAGGUUUCGUAUGUGUUAUAUCCUUUCGAUCGAGCGAGAACUUAUAAGGAAGGCCUUCAUUGCCCUUUGACAAAAGUAAAAAAAAAAAGAGCGCUAGGGAAGAGAGAAAGUAGCAGAAGUGCUUCUAGAUCUCAUGGAAUAAGGCAGAAUUUCUAACAAAACUUUCCACCUCUUGCUUUCAUAGAAAAAAGAAUUUAGGAGAUGAAAUCCCGAUUACAUUACUGCAGGCCAAAAUUUUAUUUGAAAGA
RNAcentral lists this long non-coding RNA (299 nucleotides) under Nicotiana benthamiana. Its description in RNAcentral is "long non-coding RNA (NBEN_LNC031511)". The record is from RNAcentral. Lineage: Eukaryota; Viridiplantae; Streptophyta; Magnoliopsida; Solanales; Solanaceae.